UACGUAGGGGUGCGAGCGUUAAUCGGAAUUGCUAGGGCGUAACGUGCGCAGGCGGUCUGUUAAGAACCGAUGUGAAAUCCCCGGGCUUAACCUGGGAACUGCAUUGGUGACUGGCAGGCUUUGAGUGUGGCAGAGGGAGGUAGAAUUCCACGUGUAGCAGUGAAAUGCGUAGAGAUGUGGAGGAAUACCGAUGGACGAAGGCAGCCUCCUGGGCCAACACUGACGCUCAUGCACGAAAGCGUGGGGAGCAAACAGG
Molecule: ribosomal RNA, 256 nt
Filed under: uncultured bacterium
Lineage: Bacteria
Description: partial 16S ribosomal RNA
Rfam family: Bacterial small subunit ribosomal RNA
Source: RNAcentral